GUGCUCGCUUAGGCAGCACAUAUAUUAAAAUUGGAAUGAUACAGAAAGAUUAGCAUGGCCCCCGUUCAAUGAUGACAUGCAAAUUCGUGAAGCAUUCCAUAUUUAA
Molecule: small nuclear RNA, 106 nt
Organism: Lepus europaeus (European hare)
Lineage: Eukaryota; Metazoa; Chordata; Mammalia; Lagomorpha; Leporidae
Source: RefSeq, a predicted model, not a curated record